This 89-nucleotide ribosomal RNA is filed under the name Marinomonas sp. SBI8L. RNAcentral's name for it is "partial 23S ribosomal RNA". It matches the Rfam family "Bacterial large subunit ribosomal RNA", at positions 1 to 82 of the family's 2925-position model. Lineage: Bacteria; Pseudomonadati; Pseudomonadota; Gammaproteobacteria; Oceanospirillales; Oceanospirillaceae. The record is from RNAcentral. RNAcentral also lists the same sequence under 1 other name.
GUUAUAUGGUCAAGUGACCAAGCGUGCACGGUGGAUGCCUUGGCAGUCAGAGGCGAUGAAGGACGUGGUAAUCUGCGAAAAGCUCGGGG